RNAcentral lists this long non-coding RNA (974 nucleotides) under Mytilus galloprovincialis (Mediterranean mussel). The record is from RNAcentral. Lineage: Eukaryota; Metazoa; Mollusca; Bivalvia; Mytilida; Mytilidae.
CAGUUAUCAAAGUUAGAAAUGAAAGUUUAUAUUGAUCAAUUGAUUGAUUGAUUUGUUGAUUGAUGAGUGGAUUAAUUGUUAAGCAGUUAUCACAGGUAGAAAUGAAAGUUCAUAUUGAUCAAUUGAUUGAUUGAUUUGUUGAUUGAUGAGUCAAUUAUUCGUUAAGGAGGCUCGUGGUUAUAAAAAUUUAAAAAUUUUUUUUUUUCUUGUUUUCAUUACAAUUUUUUUUUACUUUAUUAGUUGUUACUUUAUUUAACAGCAAAAAUCAUUCCAAAAAGUCAAUUCGUUUUGACCCCAGAUGACUUUCAAAAUGUAUAUAUUAUCGAAAAAGCUCCAAAUUAUCUCCCUUAGGUGCAAAAAUGCAUUUUUUUUUGCAUUAAAAUUGAAAUAUCUUUUUUAACUCAUCAGUGACCUAUAUUUUUUUAUAAUUUUUUAAAUAAGCUGUACUUAAACUACUCUAUUGUAAAAUUUGGGUGAUUUCUGUAAUUACGUUCUUUUUUUAUUUCGAUAUUAUCUUUAUUUCUCCUAUUAGUUCAACAGAAAAAAAGUAAUUUUACAAAAAUGUAUGCUUCUCUCGAAGGCAGAUUGUGAGAUUAAAUGAACGGUGACCCCAUGUUUUUAUUCUAUAUUUCUAUUAAGUAUAAGAUGAAGUUCAUUUAUAGAAAAAUAUAGGGAAAUCCUAUAUAAGGAAAAAAAUUUGGUUUAUACCCGCGAGCCCCCUUAAGCAGUCAUCACAGGUAGAAAUGAAAGUUCAUAUUGAUCAAUUGAUUGAUUUUAUUUGUGGAGGAAGCAGGAGUAUCAACAGAUAUCCCUGAAAAAUAUGCCCAAUUACUGGUUGCUUGAUUGAUUGUUGGCGUUUAACACCACCUUCACACUUGGCUAUAUUAUAUGAUCAGUUUAAAUGGUGAAAAAGCACAAACAGAGACCAACCAAAAAUCUGUCAAAUUUUGAUUGAUUGAUUGUUGGGGUUUAAC